GGGUUGUGAGGUUAAGCGACUAAGCGUACACGGUGGAUGCCCUGGCAGUCAGAGGCGAUGAAGGGCGUGCUAAUCUGCGAUAAGCGCCGGUAAGGUGAUAUGAACCGUUAUAACCGGCGAUACCCGAAUGGGGAAACCCAGUGUGAUUCGUCACACUAUCAUUAACUGAAUCCAUAGGUUAAUGAGGCGAACCGGGGGAACUGAAACAUCUAAGUACCCCGAGGAAAAGAAAUCAACCGAGAUUCCCCCAGUAGCGGCGAGCGAACGGGGAGGAGCCCAGAGCCUGAAUCAGCAUGUGUGUUAGUGGAAGCGUCUGGAAAGGCGCGCGAUACAGGGUGACAGCCCCGUACACAAAAGCGCAUGUGCUGUGAGCUCGAUGAGUAGGGCGGGACACGUGGUAUCCUGUCUGAAUAUGGGGGGACCAUCCUCCAAGGCUAAAUACUCCUGACUGACCGAUAGUGAACCAGUACCGUGAGGGAAAGGCGAAAAGAACCCCGGCGAGGGGAGUGAAAAAGAACCUGAAACCGUGUACGUACAAGCAGUGGGAGCACAGGUUUACCUGUGUGACUGCGUACCUUUUGUAUAAUGGGUCAGCGACUUAUAUUCUGUAGCAAGGUUAACCGUAUAGGGGAGCCGUAGGGAAACCGAGUCUUAAUUGGGCGUUAAGUUGCAGGGUAUAGACCCGAAACCCGGUGAUCUAGCCAUGGGCAGGUUGAAGGUUGGGUAACACUAACUGGAGGACCGAACCGACUAAUGUUGAAAAAUUAGCGGAUGACCUGUGGCUGGGGGUGAAAGGCCAAUCAAACCGGGAGAUAGCUGGUUCUCCCCGAAAGCUAUUUAGGUAGCGCCUCGUGAAUUCAUCUCCGGGGGUAGAGCACUGUUUCGGCUAGGGGGCCAUCCCGGCUUACCAACCCGAUGCAAACUGCGAAUACCGGAGAAUGUUAUCACGGGAGACACACGGCGGGUGCUAACGUCCGUCGUGAAGAGGGAAACAACCCAGACCGCCAGCUAAGGUCCCAAAGUCAUGGUUAAGUGGGAAACGAUGUGGGAAGGCCCAGACAGCCAGGAUGUUGGCUUAGAAGCAGCCAUCAUUUAAAGAAAGCGUAAUAGCUCACUGGUCGAGUCGGCCUGCGCGGAAGAUGUAACGGGGCUAAACCAUGCACCGAAGCUGCGGCAGCGACGUUUAUGCGUUGUUGGGUAGGGGAGCGUUCUGUAAGCCUGCGAAGGUGGCCUGUGAGGGUUGCUGGAGGUAUCAGAAGUGCGAAUGCUGACAUAAGUAACGAUAAAGCGGGUGAAAAGCCCGCUCGCCGGAAGACCAAGGGUUCCUGUCCAACGUUAAUCGGGGCAGGGUGAGUCGACCCCUAAGGCGAGGCCGAAAGGCGUAGUCGAUGGGAAACGGGUUAAUAUUCCCGUACUUGGUGUUACUGCGAAGGGGGGACGGAGAAGGCUAUGUUGGCCGGGCGACGGUUGUCCCGGUUUAAGCGUGUAGGCUGGUUUUCCAGGCAAAUCCGGAAAAUCAAGGCUGAGGCGUGACGACGAGGCACUACGGUGCUGAAGCAACAAAUGCCCUGCUUCCAGGAAAAGCCUCUAAGCAUCAGGUAACAUCAAAUCGUACCCCAAACCGACACAGGUGGUCAGGUAGAGAAUACCAAGGCGCUUGAGAGAACUCGGGUGAAGGAACUAGGCAAAAUGGUGCCGUAACUUCGGGAGAAGGCACGCUGACACGUAGGUGAAGUGAUUUACUCAUGGAGCUGAAGUCAGUCGAAGAUACCAGCUGGCUGCAACUGUUUAUUAAAAACACAGCACUGUGCAAACACGAAAGUGGACGUAUACGGUGUGACGCCUGCCCGGUGCCGGAAGGUUAAUUGAUGGGGUCAGCGCAAGCGAAGCUCCUGAUCGAAGCCCCGGUAAACGGCGGCCGUAACUAUAACGGUCCUAAGGUAGCGAAAUUCCUUGUCGGGUAAGUUCCGACCUGCACGAAUGGCGUAAUGAUGGCCAGGCUGUCUCCACCCGAGACUCAGUGAAAUUGAACUCGCUGUGAAGAUGCAGUGUACCCGCGGCAAGACGGAAAGACCCCGUGAACCUUUACUAUAGCUUGACACUGAACAUUGAGCCUUGAUGUGUAG
RNAcentral lists this ribosomal RNA (2126 nucleotides) under Salmonella enterica subsp. enterica serovar Bareilly. Its description in RNAcentral is "partial 23S ribosomal RNA". It matches the Rfam family "Bacterial large subunit ribosomal RNA", at positions 1 to 2141 of the family's 2925-position model. The record is from RNAcentral. Lineage: Bacteria; Pseudomonadati; Pseudomonadota; Gammaproteobacteria; Enterobacterales; Enterobacteriaceae.